GUUGGUGCGCGUCUUCGAGAGUGUUUCGAUCCGAAGGAAAAGGAAAAGUUCGAACUCGGAGGUUCUUCUACCGAUUUUGUUAUUGUUGUUGUGUGUUCGAAAAGGGAAGCAGGAGUAGGCGGUGCGAAAGAGACGCAAUAUGCGCUGAUCGAACGGUUGCUGUGGAAACGAGGGGAAAACUGGAUCAAAAAUCCGUUUGAGUGGGUGUAAAGAAGCAAAUUGGGAAAGAAUCCGGAAAAUCGUAUAUAAAUUUAGUGGAAUAUAAAUUUGUCAGUGAGUGAUCAUCGCUGGAAACGCAUGGUGUUGAAGGAUUAGCGCAGAAAAAAUUGCAGCAACCACCGGAGGUGCUGAUCGAUGCAAGAUCUAGUGAAGAAGCCCCAACUGAGCAGUACGAAUGGGAAGUAGUGCGGAAAGUGUGAUGGUGUUUUAAAAAUAGGAUACAGAAUUUCCUUCGCCUGUGGGUGCCCCGCGUCGACUGUUUGUGGCGGCUUUCCACUCCAGAGGGAGCGAGAGAAUUUCUCCGAGGUGGAUCGGUGGCGACGAUAUUUUGUAGCCACAGUCUUCUUCCAAGUGUUUUGCCCAUACAGUUACACAGUAGCAUAGGAUCGAGAGUGAGUGCCCCCGGCUGUGCGGUGAAGUGGUGCAUUUGGAGAGCAAACGGCAGCGGUGUCGAACGAGCUGCCGCAGCAGGAAAAUUGCGCGUGUUCGUAAGCUGAGGAGACGGAAAACUUGGGAUGUACUGAGCUGCGAGACGCAACCAGUGGACGCAGAAAUAUCUACCUACAACAACCGAUAAUAUCAUCCUGGAUAAGCAAGAUUUUCCUGCUCAGCAUCACCAUCCUUCUCGUUCUCCAAUCGUCUGACGAUGGCACGCCGUUUGCUGAAAUGCAUCCACCAGUCCACCAGGAAAAGCAAAGCAGCGAUGAAUCCGAUGGCAGCCGCCGAUCGAUUGUUACCGAUGGGAUAGGCGCGGAAAAGAUCGGACAACACGCAGUACCCCAGUAUGUAGUAGCCAGCUGCCGCCAAUCCAGUGAACCAAAGUUCCACCCUGAACCAUUGCAUCGAAGUGAAUGCUCGACGAACCGGACGAGCUGCAAGUAACGAAUCGCCCAGCAGAAGCACCGUCCCGAUC
Armigeres subalbatus is the source of this 1132-nucleotide long non-coding RNA. RefSeq lists it as uncharacterized. The record is from RefSeq and is a predicted model, not a curated record. The transcript is spliced from 3 exons. NCBI's taxonomy places the organism in Eukaryota, Metazoa, Arthropoda, Insecta, Diptera, Culicidae.